This 2170-nucleotide long non-coding RNA is filed under the name Triticum aestivum (bread wheat). Its description in RNAcentral is "long non-coding RNA (TAES_LNC020896)". The record is from RNAcentral. Lineage: Eukaryota; Viridiplantae; Streptophyta; Magnoliopsida; Poales; Poaceae.
ACAAAUUAGGAUUUAAAAAAAUAAAAGCCUACCUAUUUCAGUCUAGACAUGCAUUUCACAAUACGUACAUGUUAUGUAUACAUUCAAUCAUCAAUCAUACAUAUCUGAUGUAGAUAAUUAACACACGCACGCACGUGGGCACACACACACACACAAUAUAUGCCACGCGUCUACGUCAUCGGCAUCGGAGCUUCCACAAGGUCGUGUUGAUGUCGUCGUCGUCGUCGCCGCCGCAGCACCAUGACGAUGUCGUCGUCUUGGUCGCCACCGUAGCCCUGUGUUGAUGUCGAUGUUGUCGUAAUCAUCGUCGCCGCAGCCCCAUGUCGAUAUCACCUUCGUCGCCGCCAUAGCUUCAUGUCCAUGUGUUCCCUACUAGGAACUCACAAAUCCUGGAAUUAAACAAUGAACCAAGACCACUCCUAGGAACUCAAAAGAACCUGGAGCUUUAGUACAGUAUAACAGUAACCUAUAGAGCACUAAGUAACAAUAGCAUAGUAUAUAGUAGCCAUGCCCACGCGGCAACACGCCGCGCCCUUCGAUACAUUAUGUGUACAUAUGCUAUUUUUAUAUGGUGAUGAAAAAUAAUUUUUUAUGAGCAUAAUUUUGUGGUCAUAACUUUGUAUAAAAAAAAGCAAGGCAUUAUCAGAAACAAAUUGAAAAGAAUAUAUUUAUCAUCACCAUGAGUGCUACAUCUUGCAAGAACAAAAGGCAACCUUCUCAAGCUUUUCCUUAUAUUGAACUCAAUGCACAAGUUUCUCCCAAACCAUGAAUCCUGCAACAUAUUUGAUAUUACUCCUUCAAAACACUAUGUGAUCAGCUUACAGUCCUUACUGAAUCUAUUAGAUUGCCGGAGACCGGAGCAUGUUCCUUUUCUUGCCCCAGCCCAGAUAAUUUGAUCUUGGAAUCCUGUUUAAAAGCAGGAAUCAUACUUAUGCUUCUCAAGGUGAAUAAAAACAAUAAUCAAGCUGAAGAAGGAAUGAAACAACACUUAUGUACCACAAGUACAAUAACUGGAGACUAAGUUGUUGUUUAACAUUGGAAAAAAGUGAGAAAAUAUCUGUCAAAAAAACAACCCACAACUUAAUAAGCAGUGAAGUAUGUCUCUAGAAAGAGUCCAUACCACCACACUUACAGGCCUCUGUUCUUCAUUCUGCAUAGAGAAGUCACAAACAUGCAAUUGAUUAUCACAUUAACGUGUAACUGCAAUACGUUGAGACAACCUGAUACAGCAAACUCAUAUACUUGGUAAUAAUAAAAAUAUAUAAAAAUCUGACAGAGCAAAAUUUAGUACAGGUAGCACCACCUGUAUUUAGUACAGGUAGCUUGCCUGCUAAUUUACCGUACGAAUGCACUGAACUUUGAUUCUGUGGAAUUGUCUUCUUCUCUAAUUACCAAAACUGUUGGUCAACUGCUACUAAAUGGUCAAUAAUAUCGUAUGGCUGGAUGAGUCAUCUCUCACCUAAGAUGGACUCAUUUGUGAGAUACUCCUGAGAACCUGAGUGAACAGAGCUACAUGCUUUGAUCUUGGAUGUGGACUCCAAGUAUAUUGAUUAAGAAGGUGAAUAAGGCUCAGUGUUUGUUGCUUGUAAUGCUAUACAGAUAGAGGACCAUCCAAAAAGACUAAGCUAUCAAAAUGUUCCAAUGCUCGCCUUAACUUCACUACCAGUUGUUGAAAUAAUAAAAAUAGUAACCAUAGAAACAAAGUUUGAUGAAUAAAACUGUAGGACUGCAGCAUUGUAGUUGGUAUUAUCUUUUUGCAGUAAGGCCUUACUAGGAAGCUGAUAUAUUGUAGACCAAAAUACACUUGCCGUUAGAAAUAAUGCUAUAUGAGAAGAUACAUUUUAUACCUGAACUAUCAGCGACAUGAUCCUUCAUUCCCGGUCACGAGUAGUAGAUGGACCGGAACCGACUGCUCCAAGCUAUCAACGACACGAGAAUCACAAUCACGCGGACUGCUGCAACAUAUGCGUCAAUAGAAAAUUUAUACCUGAACUAAACUCAACUUGAGUAGCACUACAAUGAACGAAAAUUGAACUUGGCAUUACUGAAAUAAUUGUGCAUCUAUCUGCUAACAUCUAAUUUGUUUGUCAUACACUAGUACUACACUGAUAUCCCAAAGCCUACACUAGUACUACACUUAACUAAAACUGAACUUGGCUGUUGCACUUAC